This is a long non-coding RNA of Gasterosteus aculeatus aculeatus (three-spined stickleback), 1044 nucleotides long. Lineage: Eukaryota; Metazoa; Chordata; Actinopteri; Perciformes; Gasterosteidae. The record is from Ensembl.
GGGAGAGAAAACAAAUGAUGAAGAAAAUGACGUGUUUAAAAACUGAAAAACCUGACAUUGAAACACAGAAUAAUCCAUGUGUGUCUUCCCCACUGUAUCCAUCCCUGACAGGGGCAGGCGGUCCUCUCCUGAACACGUGUUAUCAAAUUCCUGCACCACCUCCAGUCCAACAAUCACCACCACCGUACAACCCCGAUCCUACGGUUGGCAGACCUGUAACACGCAGUCAAACCCGGCUGGGAGACCAGGGAGGUGCCGACGUCAAAUCGCGCUCACCCCUCAACCCAUUCGGACCUGACCCCACAGCUCAGUCCACCCCGGACUCUGCGUGGUCAAUCCACGACCCAUCCUCCUGGAGGGGCACAGCCGGCAGAAUUGUGGAUUUUCUUAGUCCCGACACCACCAUGGACAGUAAACCGGGUGGGCAUCGUGGUGUCGUGUUCCGACCCUGGACAGCGACUGAUAUUCAACAGGCAGCCUCUCACCUGCCCGACAUCAAAAACGGUGCAGCCUUUGGAAAAGAGUUCCUGGCCUUCUGUAAAGAAUUCAUGCCCACCGGACCCGAGAUCCAUCGUCUUCUGGUCAAACAUGUGGGCCUGAGUGAUUUCAGUAAAAUCAGAGCGGUGGUCACUGGUCAGGGCUGUGACUCCCGCCACGAGGCACCCGACUGGGAUCAUGCAGAUAACGUCGCCUACAGAGCAUUUGUCACCGCAGUGUGUGCAGCUGUUGUUACAGCUUUUCCGGCAACAGUAAACAUGGCCCCCAUCAACAGCACAAAACAAGGUAGGACCGAAGAUGUAACAUUUUACCAUCAGCGUCUUGUGGCUGCUUUUCAGAUUCACAGCGGCCUCGAGGAGCCCACAGACAUAACCAACAUGACCGUGUGGGAAACUCAUCUCAAGAACGCCUUCAUGAACGGGCUUCUGCCAGACGUCAAAACUGCCACUGAACACUCUGUCGUGGGUCUGGAAGAUGCAAGGCUCACAGAAGUGGACAUUGGUACCAAGACUGCCCCUCCCGUUCAAACCUGGUACGUCAGCCACG